UGGAAGUGAUGAAAUAGAGAUACUUGGGUGUUGAAUGUUGAGUGACUGGAAAUUUUAAUAAUACGUUAAGUAAUUCUUCUAGUUGAAUAUUUUAUAGUUAGUUAAUAGAGCCUGUGUGUGUGUGUGUGUGUGUGCUUGUGGCUAUGGAAAGGGAGCACUGAAUGGUGAUGCUGAUAUUGGAGUGCAUCUGAGGCUGUUGUAGAAAAACAUGGGUUGUUGAUUACAACAUUGCCUGUGAUUAUAACCCAAGAACAGCUCACCUAACUAGCCUAGCACCCUAAAAUCUCUAACAGGUUCAUUAAGCGUGGUCCUGUGAUCUGAUCCAA
RNAcentral lists this small nucleolar RNA (326 nucleotides) under Chinchilla lanigera (long-tailed chinchilla). RNAcentral describes it as "Small Cajal body-specific RNA 7 (ENSCLAG00000018852.1)". It matches the Rfam family "Small Cajal body-specific RNA 7". Lineage: Eukaryota; Metazoa; Chordata; Mammalia; Rodentia; Chinchillidae. The record is from Rfam by way of RNAcentral.